UCGGUUGGUGAACCUGCGGAAGGAUCAUUA
Molecule: ribosomal RNA, 30 nt
Filed under: Tuber neoexcavatum
Lineage: Eukaryota; Fungi; Ascomycota; Pezizomycetes; Pezizales; Tuberaceae
Description: partial 18S ribosomal RNA
Source: RNAcentral